Molecule: signal recognition particle RNA, 286 nt
Filed under: Saimiri boliviensis boliviensis (Bolivian squirrel monkey)
Lineage: Eukaryota; Metazoa; Chordata; Mammalia; Primates; Cebidae
Description: Metazoan signal recognition particle RNA (ENSSBOG00000003578.1)
Rfam family: Metazoan signal recognition particle RNA
About the family: The signal recognition particle (SRP) is a universally conserved ribonucleoprotein.
Source: RNAcentral
GCUGGCUGUGGUGGUGCCUCCUGUAGCCACAGCUACUGAGGAGGCUGAGGAUACUUCAAGCCUGACUUCUGGGCUGUAGUUUGCUAUGCUGAUGGAGUGUCCUUGCUAAGUUUGGUAUCAACGUGGUGACCUCUUGGGAGCAGGGGACCACCAGGUUGCCUAAGGAGGGGUGAACAGCUCAGGUUGGAAAGGGAGCAGGUCAAAAUUUUCAGGCUGAUGAGUGAUGGGAUUGUGCCUGGGAAUAGUGCCAGCAACAGACUGAGCAACAUAGUGAGACUACUCUCUA